RNAcentral lists this small RNA (29 nucleotides) under Bombyx mori (domestic silkworm). Its description in RNAcentral is "ovarian small RNA-24430". The record is from RNAcentral. Lineage: Eukaryota; Metazoa; Arthropoda; Insecta; Lepidoptera; Bombycidae.
UCAAACUCCGGUUGAUAUCGACCCCCAAA